Cotesia glomerata is the source of this 838-nucleotide long non-coding RNA. RefSeq lists it as uncharacterized. The transcript has 3 exons. The record is from RefSeq and is a predicted model, not a curated record. NCBI's taxonomy places the organism in Eukaryota, Metazoa, Arthropoda, Insecta, Hymenoptera, Braconidae.
ACCGAACGAACUGUACAGUUCAGUAACGUAACACUCUGCCAGAGCGCCCGCCAUUUUGAUAAAAAAUAAACGCGCGCCUUUUUUUGUGACAGGUUUGUUAUUCAAUGUAUGAAUAACUUGGAUGGAAUUUAAUGGAAAUAUUGUGACGCAUAAAUUUAUUGAGAAAUAGAAAGUCGGGUAGUUUUUCUAGGUGCUGGUGUAUAUAGUGGAGGUAAAUGUGUACUGCCUGGGGAUGCUGAAGGGUGGAUUGAGUAAUGACGGGUUUCUUUGCAUAAGUAAAAAUGAAUGAAGGGCUCCGGAGUUGGUUGUCGCGGCAUCAGUUGGAUAACAGCGCCAUUCAUGCUUAUAGUAAUGUGCACUGGGCACUUGAGGUUCAUCUUGUGUGACUUGUAUGCCAAAAGGGGAUGAAAGAUUGCAUUGUGCUGUGUGUCCAAUCGACUCGUCACGCUCCUUCUAAUUGCUAUUGAUUUAUUUGUUUUUUUUUUAUCUCAUUAAGAAAUUUUUUGUUUAGGUGCUUUUUUUUAAAAAAUUAGCUUUCGCUCCAUGAUACUGAAAAUCGCAGCCAUUCGAUAAUUUAUUUUUUCUUCUUUAUAGUUUAUAAAUAAAUAAAUUAUAAAUAAAAAAGAAAUUUUUUAAAAAGAUAAUUCUUUGACGAUUGUUAGGAUGGAAGAAACACCCGAUUGCCGAGGGCGAAAUUCUUACUUUGUCAAGAGCUUUCGCGAACACUGUGUGUCUAUUAAUGACGACAACAUUCUCUAAUUAUGAGUUUAUUUAAUAAACUCUCAUUGCCGAGCGUUGUUAAUUAAAAUAAUUAAAUAAUCUUUAUAUUUACGGUAGU